Molecule: ribosomal RNA, 393 nt
Filed under: uncultured bacterium
Lineage: Bacteria
Description: bacterial SSU rRNA
Rfam family: Bacterial small subunit ribosomal RNA
Source: RNAcentral
GACGAACGCUGGCGGCGCGCCUAACACAUGCAAGUCGAACGGAGAUCACUUAGUAGAAGUUUUCGGAUGGACACCGAGUGAUCUUAGUGGCGAACGGGUGAGUAACGCGUGAGCAAUCUGCCUCAGAGUGGGGGACAACAGUUGGAAACGACUGCUAAUACCGCAUAAGCCCACAGCAUCGCAUGGUGCAGGGGGAAAAGAUUUAUUGCUUUGAGAUGAGCUCGCGUCCAAUUAGCUAGUUGGUGAGGUAACGGCCCACCAAGGCGACGAUUGGUAGCGGACUGAGAGGUUGAACGGCCACAUUGGGACUGAGAUACGGCCCAGACUCCUACGGGAGGCAGCAGUGGGGGAUAUUGCGCAAUGGGGGCGAACCCUGACGCAGCAACGCCGCGU